CAGUGGGGAAUAUUGGACAAUGGGCGAAAGCCUGAUCCAGCCAUGCCGCGUGUGUGAAGAAGGUCUUCGGAUUGUAAAGCACUUUAAGUUGGGAGGAAGGGCAGUUACCUAAUACGUGAUUGUUUUGACGUUACCGACAGAAUAAGCACCGGCUAACUCUGUGCCAGCAGCCGCGGUAAUACAGAGGGUGCAAGCGUUAAUCGGAAUUACUGGGCGUAAAGCGCGCGUAGGUGGUUUGUUAAGUUGGAUGUGAAAUCCCCGGGCUCAACCUGGGAACUGCAUUCAAAACUGACUGACUAGAGUAUGGUAGAGGGUGGUGGAAUUUCCUGUGUAGCGGUGAAAUGCGUAGAUAUAGGAAGGAACACCAGUGGCGAAGGCGACCACCUGACUNAUACUGACACUGAG
Molecule: ribosomal RNA, 405 nt
Filed under: bacterium enrichment culture
Lineage: Bacteria
Description: bacterial SSU rRNA
Rfam family: Bacterial small subunit ribosomal RNA
Source: RNAcentral